RNAcentral lists this ribosomal RNA (253 nucleotides) under uncultured bacterium. RNAcentral's name for it is "partial 16S ribosomal RNA". It matches the Rfam family "Bacterial small subunit ribosomal RNA", at positions 524 to 776 of the family's 1533-position model. The record is from RNAcentral.
UACGUAGGUGGCAAGCGUUGUUCGGAAUUAUUGGGCGUAAAGGGCGCGUAGGCGGCUUGGCAAGUGGAUGGUGAAAUCCCUCGGCUUAACCGAGGAACUGCCGUCCAAACUGCUUCGCUUGAGACCGGGAGAGGUGAGUGGAAUUCCCAGUGUAGCGGUGAAAUGCGUAGAUAUUGGGAGGAACACCAGUGGCGAAGGCGGCUCACUGGACCGGUACUGACGCUGAUGCGCGAAAGCGUGGGGAGCAAACGGG